GACAUAGGGUGCAAACGUUGUUCGGAUUUACUGGGCGUAAAGCGCGUGUAGGCGGCUUUGCAAGUCGGAUGUGAAAGCCCACGGCUCAACCGUGGAAGUGCAUCCGAAACUGCAUGGCUGGAGUCUCGGAGAGGAAGGUGGAAUGCUUGGUGUAGAGGUGAAAUUCGUAGAUAUCAAGCAGAACACCUGCGGCGAAGGCGGCCUUCUGGACGAUGACUGACGCUGAGACGCGAAAGCGUGGGGAGCAAACAGG
RNAcentral lists this ribosomal RNA (253 nucleotides) under uncultured bacterium. RNAcentral describes it as "partial 16S ribosomal RNA". It matches the Rfam family "Bacterial small subunit ribosomal RNA", at positions 524 to 776 of the family's 1533-position model. The record is from RNAcentral.